UACUAGAGUAGCACUCGCAUAUCAAUAAGCGGAGGAAAAGAAACUAACAAGGAUUCCCCUAGUAACGGCGAGUGAAGCGGGAAGAGCUCAAAUUUGAAAUCUUAAAGGGUUUCCCUUUACGAAUUGUAGUUUAAAGAAGUGUUUUCUGUUGAGGUUUUGGUAAAAGUUCUUUGGAAUAGGACAUCAUAGAGGGUGAGAAUCCCGUAUUUGACCUUUACUUUCAACUUUGUGAUACACUUUCAAAGAGUCGGAUUGUUUGGGAAUGCAGUCCAAAAUGGGUGGUAAAUUUCAUCUAAAGCUAAAUAUUGGCGAGAGACCGAUAGCGAACAAGUACCGUGAGGGAAAGAUGAAAAGAACUUUGAAAAGAGAGUUAAACAGUACGUGAAAUUGUCAAAAGGGAAGCGUUUGACACCAGUGUUGUUUUUCUGAAAAUCAAUUAAAGAACUGUUUAUGCUAAGCUGUUUAGACUUUAUCAGCUAAUCUGUUUAGUUUUGAGCUUUUCUUUAAUGCACUUUUCAGUUAACAAGUCAACAUCAAUUUCUUUUGCUGUAAAAAAGCUUGAGGAAGGUGGCUUGAGAUUCGUCUUAAGUGUUUAUAAAUAGCCUCUUGCCUAUGCAGUCGGAGAGAUUGAGGUCUGCAGCGUAGAUCCUUCGGGGCUAAAUGCAUUUGUGCUAAGUUAUAGCAUUUCAUAGACAACUUGUUGACUAUGAUUUGUCUUGUAGCUUACUCGCUUAUGUUAUUUUACCUACGCUUAGGAUGUUGAUAUCGCGCUCUCACUG
Molecule: ribosomal RNA, 779 nt
Filed under: uncultured Neocallimastigales
Lineage: Eukaryota; Fungi; Neocallimastigomycota; Neocallimastigomycetes; Neocallimastigales
Description: partial large subunit ribosomal RNA
Rfam family: Eukaryotic large subunit ribosomal RNA
Source: RNAcentral